Molecule: non-coding RNA, 688 nt
Organism: Pogona vitticeps (central bearded dragon)
Lineage: Eukaryota; Metazoa; Chordata; Lepidosauria; Squamata; Agamidae
Source: RefSeq, a predicted model, not a curated record
UAGCAAGAAAAGGCACAGCUCCUCUGGACAGAAGAUGUGGCCUGUUGGAAGAAAAGCAGAACAAGUACUGUACUCUUCCUGGAGGGAAGCUUGGCUGAAGGUGGAGACAGUUUCGAAGGGAGCACAAGAAGCUUACACCACAAAGUGAUGAGUUAGGGAAGAUGUUUAUAAGUGGGAAAUUUAGAGUUAUCUUCCUACAUUUCAACUGCCAAGGCAAGUUUAAAUACAUGAUUUCAGUACAACUAACAGAGUGGAAAUAGCAUUUUGAAAUGACCCCAGCACUAUUAAUAAAGAUUAACUGUGAAUCUUGAAGGAACAACAGGGAAUGCCAGGACUAUAAUGUCGAAAGAAAGAACUAGCCGCCUCUGAAAAUGGAAGGAACCUGAGAAAAAUCUACUCCCUGGUCGCAUGGAGAGAUUGUUUACUUGGAAGUCACUUAAUAGACUAUAAAGUGGAGUCGGCACAACCAAAGUGAGCCUAAGAAAAUGGAGCUUUUGCACCAAUGUAGUCCUUUGAAAGUACAGAGAAGAACAAGGAAUUUCACACUUAUGCAAGUGUAAUUCAUGCCCAUCAACCUGUCCUAUGUAAGAUUUGAUGGUAUCUGCCCCAGAUGCUCUUGAUGCUGCCGGUUAUUGGGCAAAAAUAAUUUUACAUAUUUAUCAAUUGUACUGCUUCUGGCGAGAAAGAA